UUUUUUCCAGCCUAUUCCCAUAAAUUGUACCCCUCAUAUUAGCUAAAUGUUUAAUAUAGAUGCUGUUAUUUCAGAUUUGUGUGGUUUAUUUUUUUUAUUUUUUUCUGCCCCUGGCUCCACCCUGCUUGUGUCAGUGUGUAUCUGCACAAUGAAAAACACGGACACACGUACAGACACACAGAUCCAAACACACAUACAAACAAUGCCACACCUAGAGAUGCAAACAUUAAAGCGGCACUGUCAUGCCGAACUUACCUUUCC
This 261-nucleotide long non-coding RNA is filed under the name Pelobates cultripes (western spadefoot toad). The record is from RNAcentral. Lineage: Eukaryota; Metazoa; Chordata; Amphibia; Anura; Pelobatidae.